Molecule: ribosomal RNA, 80 nt
Filed under: Acanthosepion pharaonis
Lineage: Eukaryota; Metazoa; Mollusca; Cephalopoda; Sepiida; Sepiidae
Source: RNAcentral
UACGAUCACCGAAGUUAAGCAACGUCGAGCCUUGUCAGUACCUAGAUGGGUGACCGCUUGGGAAUAACAGUUGCUGCAAG